Molecule: ribosomal RNA, 508 nt
Filed under: uncultured bacterium
Lineage: Bacteria
Description: partial 16S ribosomal RNA
Rfam family: Bacterial small subunit ribosomal RNA
Source: RNAcentral
AUUGAACGCUGGCGGCAUGCCUUACACACGCAAGUCGAACGGCAGCGGGGGAGAAGCUUGCUUUUCCUGCCGGCGAGUGGCGAACGGGUGAGUAAUACAUCGGAACGUGCCCUGUAGUGGGGGAUAACUAGUCGAAAGAUUAGCUAAUACCGCAUACGACCUGAGGGUGAAAGUGGGGGACCGCAAGGCCUCAUGCUAUAGGAGCGGCCGAUGUCUGAUUAGCUAGUUGGUGGGGUAAAGGCCUACCAAGGCGACGAUCAGUAGCUGGUCUGAGAGGACGAUCAGCCACACUGGGACUGAGACACGGCCCAGAAUCCUACGGGAGGCAGCAGUGGGGAAUUUUGGACAAUGGGCGAAAGCCUGAUUCAGCAAUGCCGCGUGUGUGAAGAAGGCCUUCGGGUUGUAAAGCACUUUUGUCCGGAAAGAAAUGGCUCUGGUUAAUACCUGGGGUCGAUGACGGUACCGGAAGAAUAAGGACCGGCUAACUACGUGCCAGCCGCCGCAGUAA